AUUUAUGUAGUUUAUAAAAACAUUACAUUUUCACUGUAAAAAUAAAGUGUAAUCUUUCAUAAAUA
RNAcentral lists this transfer RNA (65 nucleotides) under Klapopteryx armillata. RNAcentral describes it as "tRNA-Glu". It matches the Rfam family "tRNA". Rfam says of the family: Transfer RNA (tRNA) molecules are approximately 80 nucleotides in length. Lineage: Eukaryota; Metazoa; Arthropoda; Insecta; Plecoptera; Austroperlidae. The record is from RNAcentral.